Molecule: ribosomal RNA, 311 nt
Filed under: Desulfopila sp. IMCC35006
Lineage: Bacteria; Pseudomonadati; Thermodesulfobacteriota; Desulfobulbia; Desulfobulbales; Desulfocapsaceae
Description: Bacterial large subunit ribosomal RNA
Rfam family: Bacterial large subunit ribosomal RNA
Source: Rfam by way of RNAcentral
AGAAAGCGUAAUAGCUCACUGGUCUAAUGAUACCGCGCCGAAAAUUUAACGGGGCUAAGCAUAGUACCGAAGCUACGGAUUCGAUAAGCUGAUUUAAGUUUAUUAAUACACGCACGACGGGAGUUAGGUUAAGCGAGCGGUUUUUGCUCGCAAAAUUCCCCCAGGCAAGCAUGAGUUAAUAGGUUUAAAUCAGCUUAUCGAAUGGUAGGAGAACAUUGUGGCCGCCUGUGAAGGUACACCGAAAGGAGUGCUGGAGGUUCCACAAGAGCUUAUGUUGACACGAGUAGCGAAAAACAAGGUGAGAAACCUUG